AUACGGAGGGUGCAAGCGUUAAUCGGAAUUACUGGGCGUAAAGCGUACGUAGGCGGUUAUUUAAGUCAGAUGUGAAAGCCCCGGGCUUAACUUGGGAACUGCAUUUGAAACUGGGUAACUAGAGUUUAGUAGAGGGGAGUGGAAUUUCAGGUGUAGCGGUGAAAUGCGUAGAGAUCUGAAGGAACACCAGUGGCGAAGGCGACUCCCUGGACUAGAACUGACGCUGAGGUACGAAAGCGUGGGUAGCAAACGGGAUUAGAAACCCCGGUAGUCC
This 274-nucleotide ribosomal RNA is filed under the name uncultured bacterium. RNAcentral's name for it is "partial 16S ribosomal RNA". It matches the Rfam family "Bacterial small subunit ribosomal RNA", at positions 523 to 796 of the family's 1533-position model. The record is from RNAcentral.